AAUAGAUACCCGGGUAGUCCAUGCCGUAAACGUUGGGCACUAGGUGUGGGACUCACUCAACGGGUUCCGUGCCGUAGCUAACGCAUUAAGUGCCCCGCCUGGGGAGUACGGCCGCAAGGCUAAAACUCAAAGGAAUUGACGGGGGCCCGCACAAGCAGCGGAGCAUGUUGCUUAAUUCGAGGCAACGCGAAGAACCUUACCUGGGUUUGACAUGUACGGAAAAGCCGCAGAGAUGCGGUGUCCUUUUGGGCCGUACACAGGUGGUGCAUGGUUGUCGUCAGCUCGUGUCGUGAGAUGUUGGGUUAAGUCCCGCAACGAGCGCAACCCUUGCCAUUAGUUGCCACAUUCAGUUGGGCACUCUAAUGGGACUGCCGGUGACAAACCGGAGGAAGGUGGGGAUGACGUCAAGUCCUCAUGGCCCUUAUGGGUAGGGCCUCACACGUCAUACAAUGGCGCGUACAGAGGGUUGCCAACCCGCGAGGGGGAGCCAAUCCCAGAAAGCGCGUCGUAGUCCGGAUUGGAGUCUGCAACUCGACUCCAUG
Molecule: ribosomal RNA, 542 nt
Filed under: uncultured bacterium
Lineage: Bacteria
Description: bacterial SSU rRNA
Rfam family: Bacterial small subunit ribosomal RNA
Source: RNAcentral